Molecule: ribosomal RNA, 253 nt
Filed under: uncultured bacterium
Lineage: Bacteria
Description: partial 16S ribosomal RNA
Rfam family: Bacterial small subunit ribosomal RNA
Source: RNAcentral
UACGUAGGGUGCAAGCGUUGUCCGGAAUUAUUGGGCGUAAAGAGCUCGUAGGCGGUUUGUCGCGUCUGCUGUGAAAACUCAGGGCUUAACCCUGAGCCUGCAGUGGGUACGGGCAGACUAGAGUGCGGGAGAGGAGAGUGGAAUUCCUGGUGUAGCGGUGGAAUGCGCAGAUAUCAGGAAGAACACCCGUGGCGAAGGCGGCUCUCUGGAACGCAACUGACGCUGAGACGCGAAAGCGUGGGGAGCAAACAGG